This 66-nucleotide transfer RNA is filed under the name Chinapotamon maolanense. RNAcentral's name for it is "tRNA-Ile". Lineage: Eukaryota; Metazoa; Arthropoda; Malacostraca; Decapoda; Potamidae. The record is from RNAcentral.
AAUAUAGUGCCUGAAAUUUUAAGGGUAGUUUUGAUAGAACUAAUAAUGUAAACUUUACCUAUAUUA